Molecule: long non-coding RNA, 1168 nt
Filed under: Piliocolobus tephrosceles (Ugandan red Colobus)
Lineage: Eukaryota; Metazoa; Chordata; Mammalia; Primates; Cercopithecidae
Description: lncRNA (ENSPTEG00000025245.1)
Source: RNAcentral
AGAAAAAAUAUAUAUAAGAAUUAUGGACGUAGGAACUUAUCUAUGGUAAAUAGAAAAUACUAUAAAAGAGGUGGAGGACUCAGUAACACAUAUUAUACAAGAAACAAUAAAAAUAUAAAUAACAAAUUUCAAGACAGGUCAUAUAGAAACAUAAAUGGGUAUGAUAAAUAUUCCAGAAAUAAUAAAGGAUAUAACAAUUAUAGAAAUAAUAAUAAUCAUAACAAUAAUAAUAAUAUUAAUAGAAGAAAUAAUUAUAGAAAUAAUUUAAGAAAAAACAAUUAUCAAAGAAAACCUCAAAACUUACAUGAUAAAGUUGGAAAAUUAACAUCCAAGGACUUGGAUACAGAAUUAGACAAAUACAUGGGAGCAAAUAACAUAAAAACCAGAUUAGAUAACGAUUUGGACUCAUAUUUUAAGACCACCGAUGGUGUAUAAAUUAAUGCCAAAAAGAAAUUGAUCAUAUACUACAAGACGACUUAUACUAUAUAUAUAUAUAUAUUACACUACUGAUUUACUUUAUCGAAACGAAUUUAAAAUUAUUAAAAUUAAAAAGAACAAAAAAGAAACCAAUUAAUUGAAAAUAUAAUAUAUUAACAUAUAUACAUGUAUAUACAUAUAUAUAUAUAUAUAUAUAUAUUAUAUGUAUAUGCAUAUAUAUUUGUACGUUAUAAUGUAUAUCAAAGAAAAAAAGAAUAUACAUACUUACUUACACAUAUAUAUAUAUAUAUAUGUAUAUGUGUAUGUAUGUAUGUACUUUUCUGUUCUAUUUUUUUAUUUACUUUUUUUUAUUUACUUUUUUUAUUUACCUUUUUUAUUUCUUUUUUUUUUUUUUAAUUAAUUAAUAUUGAAUGUUGAAACGGCCUAAAACAAUUAUGUCAUUACUUGUAUAAUAUUUUGAAAUUCAUACAUACGUAUAUAUAGUUAUAUAUACAUAUAUUAAUAUAUACAAAUAUAGUUCAUUUUUUAAAUUAAUUUUUGGACGUUCUCUUAUAUAUUACAAAUAUUAUGUAAACGUUUUUUUUUUUUUUUUUUUUUUUUUUUUUUUUUUUUUUUUUUUUUUUUACAACGGCAUAUCUUAUGCAUAAACACAGCAAGGCUAUUUAAAAACUUUUGAUGCACAUACAUACACGUAGGAACGUGCGUACAUAUAAAAUAUACUCACGGAUAU